GGGUCAGUAGGUUGGUCGUGCCACCGGUACGUACUGGUCUCACUGAUUCCUCCUUCCUGAAGAACCGUAAUGCCAUUAAUUUGGUGUUGCGGGGAAACAGGACUGUUACUUUGAAAAAAUUAGAGUGUUUAAAGCAAGCUAACGCUUGAAUACAUUAGCAUGGAAAAAUGAAAUAGGACGAUCGAUCCUAUUUUGUUGGUUUCUAGGAUUGACGUA
RNAcentral lists this ribosomal RNA (216 nucleotides) under Glomeromycotina sp. Its description in RNAcentral is "partial small subunit ribosomal RNA". The stretch from base 40 to 216 matches the Rfam family "Eukaryotic small subunit ribosomal RNA", at positions 686 to 864 of the family's 1831-position model. Lineage: Eukaryota; Fungi; Glomeromycota. The record is from RNAcentral.